RNAcentral lists this ribosomal RNA (253 nucleotides) under uncultured bacterium. Its description in RNAcentral is "partial 16S ribosomal RNA". It matches the Rfam family "Bacterial small subunit ribosomal RNA", at positions 524 to 776 of the family's 1533-position model. The record is from RNAcentral.
UAUAGAGGUCCCAAGCGUUGUUCGGAUUCACUGGGCGUAAAGGGUGCGUAGGCGGUCGGGUAAGUCUGAUGUGAAAUCUCACAGCUUAACUGUGAAACUGCAUUGGAUACUAUCCGGCUAGAGGAAUGGAGGGGAGACUGGAAUACUUGGUGUAGCAGUGAAAUGCGUAGAUAUCAAGUGGAACACCAGUGGCGAAGGCGAGUCUCUGGACAUUUCCUGACGCUGAGGCACGAAAGCCAGGGGAGCAAACGGG